AUAACAACAGAUUUUAACAUUUCUUGCAGAAAUAUACAAGGGAAAAAUGAUAAAAUGCUUUUAUAUUUCCAACAUAUCAGAAGAGAAACUUUAAGUCACAAGCUAUAAUUUGUUUAAGCAUAAAAACUUUCUAAAGUAUCUAAAUAUCUAUUACACUUCUUAAAAUCCCUAACUGAACUUCUUCCUUGUAAAGCUAAAAACACAGGUACAUUAUUGGUUCCUAAGUCACAAAGUAAAAUUUUGGCAUUCUAAAAACCUAAGGAGAAAGAAAACAAAUUUUGCACUUCCACAAGCACAUACAAUACUACUUUACAUAUAGUAACUUAGCUGGAUCUCAUAUAAUGGCCAGUGUU
RNAcentral lists this long non-coding RNA (353 nucleotides) under Solanum tuberosum (potato). Its description in RNAcentral is "long non-coding RNA (STUB_LNC004957)". The record is from RNAcentral. Lineage: Eukaryota; Viridiplantae; Streptophyta; Magnoliopsida; Solanales; Solanaceae.